CACCCUGGACAUACUCCCUGGUCAAAGCCUGAUCUCGUCUCAUCUCAGAAGCUAAGCAGCGCUGGGCCUGGUCAGUACUUUGAUGGGAGGCCGCUGGGAAUUCCAAACUUCUGUUGUGU
Molecule: ribosomal RNA, 119 nt
Filed under: Periophthalmus magnuspinnatus
Lineage: Eukaryota; Metazoa; Chordata; Actinopteri; Gobiiformes; Gobiidae
Source: RNAcentral